GGCCGCGGGAAUUCGAUUGGAUCGCCCUUAGAGUUUGAUCAUGGCUCAGGAUGAACGCUAGCGGCAGGCUUAACACAUGCAAGUCGAGGGGCAUCACGGGUAGCAAUACCUGGUGGCGACCGGCGGAAGGGUGCGUAACGCGUGAGCAACAUGCCCUAUACAGGGGAAUAAUCCAGGGAAACUUGGUCUAAUGCCCCAUAGCAAUAAGAUAAGGCAUCUUAUUUUAUUUAAAGCUUCGGUGGUAUAGGAUUGGCUCGCGUGACAUUAGCUGGAUGGGGAGGUAACGGCUCACCAUGGCAAUGAUGUCUAGGGGUUCUGAGAGGAAGGCCCCCCACACUGGGACUGAGACACGGCCCAGACUCCUACGGGAGGCAGCAGUGAGGAAUAUUGGACAAUGGAUGGAAAUCUGAUCCAGCCAUGCCGCGUGCAGGAAGACGGCCCUAUGGGUUGUAAACUGCUUUUCUACGGGAGCAAUAAGGUCUACGAGUAGACUGAUGAGAGUACCGUAGGAAUAAGCAUCGGCUAACUCCGUGCCAGCAGCCGCGGUAAUACGGAGGAUGCGAGCGUUAUCCGGAUUUAUUGGGUUUAAAGGGUGCGUAGGCGGCUUUUUAAGUCAGCGGUGAAAUUUUGCAGCUUAACUGUAACAGUGCCGUUGAUACUGAGAGGCUAGGAUUUGGUUGCUGUGGGUGGAAUGUGUGGUGUAGCGGUGAAAUGCUUAGAGAUCACACAGAAUAUCGAUUGCGAAGGCAGCUCACAAAGCCAAGAUU
Molecule: ribosomal RNA, 767 nt
Filed under: uncultured bacterium
Lineage: Bacteria
Description: partial 16S ribosomal RNA
Rfam family: Bacterial small subunit ribosomal RNA
Source: RNAcentral